AGAGCCUUCUGGGGUGGUGGAUAGUUAUUGAGGCUGAGAGAGGUGAAGCACCUUGCCUAAGGUCAUACAGCCAGUGUUCGAGCCCAGCUGCUAAGAAGACCGCAGCAGCCUUCAUAAGUUGUAUCUUCCCCUUUACUGAAGAAUCACCAGUCACCUACAGUUGCACAGCAAGCAUGGGAAAAUAACUGAAAUUUUGAUGUGCCAUUUCUCACUUCUUUAAGAACCCUCCUUCAAAUUCCUGAAUAAAGCUGCUAACUAAGACAAAUGAAUUUUAAAAGUUUGAGACUUAAAUACCUCUCUACUAAAAGGGAAAUGGAUAAAAAGAUGCUGACUGCCAGGCUGGUUUCGGAUCCUUUGUAUUCUGUCAGAUGAGAACACUUGUUUACCUUCCAGGACUGACCUGAGCAUGAGAUUCUACAUCCCACCAGAGACGUACUCAACUGCUGACCACGAAGAGGUUCACAUGUGUAGGCUCUGUGGUACAGCUCAGCCUUUUGGAAGAGGGGAGAAGAAAAGCACCAGGAGGAUUAGAAUAAGUACUAGAUGAGAUGGUCGCUUUAUGAAAUUCAGUGCUCACAACUGACUUCUCAGUGAUGACUUCUCAUCUACCAGGCAAAGAGGUCUCAAAAAGCUGUCAAAAAGCCCUAUACUUAACGGAGACCAGCCACAGACUUCCUUCCUGUACCAGCUUUCCAAGAGGGUAAGUGAGUCUUCACCCUGAUAUUUUUGCCCCGGGUUUUACGAGGCUUCUCUUCUUUAUGCACCUUCAUGUGCUGCCUCAGAUGAGAGCUCUGACUGAAACAUUUGCCACAUUCACUGCACUGGUAGGGUUUCUCCCCAGUGUGGGUUCUCUGAUGUUGAAUAAGGUGGGAGCUCUGGCUGAAACACCGGCCACACUCAUCACACUGAUAGGGUUUUUCUCCAGUAUGAAUUCUCUGGUGCUGAAUGAGAUUUGAGCUCUGUUUGAAGCUUUCUCCACACUCAUCACAUUUGUAGGGCUUUUCCCCCGUAUGGAUCCGUCGAUGCUGAAUGAGAUUAGAACUCUGAAAGAAACUUUUCCCACAAUCAGCACAUUUAUGGGAUUUCUUUCCAGUAUGGAUCUUCUGGUGUUGAAAAAGAGUUGAACUCUGACUGAAACUCUUUUCACAUUCAGUACAUUUAUAGGGUUUGUCAUCCAAGCUUCUUCUGAGUCUACUGAAGCUUGAGUCAAAUCGAAUAGUCAUGCCCCACUUCUGCCGCUGCCGGCCUGUUUUGCGCUUGUUCUCAUAGGCCUUUCCUUGGCUUGAGCUCCGAGAAAUACCCGCUUUAGGCUUUGCUAACCUCAUGGUGAAUAACCAAAUGUAUUUGUAAGAGAGUUUACAGGCUUCUUCUGAACUAGUGUUUCAUUUCCUAGAGGUGUACAGCUCAGAAUUUUCUGUGUGUAGAAGGAAAAAAAAUUUAGAGAUGAUCAGAAAAAAAAUUACAGAUAUCUGUUAACUAUUCAAUUUUAAUAUCUCUUCAACCCACCAAAAUUGCAUUCAUGUUUAAAUUUAAAAAGUAUAAAUGCAAACAAAGAUAAUAUGGGGGGAAAUUUGGGGGAAAUACUUGCAAAGUAAUUCUAACAAUUCCAGAGUUUAAGCUUAACAAAUAUCACCAAAUUUUGACUGAGUUUACCACUGGAGUUUCUGUCUAUUGGGACAAGACAAAUUAAAAGUGAUCAGGUGAAAUAUAAAUCUUCCAAGCAUUACCAAAUGAGUACAUAAUUUUGAAGAACUAAAAAGUGGAGAUAAGGUAAAUCUUAAUGGGAAUGGAGUAACUCCAAAAGACAAUCAAAAUUUGUGUAACAGAACAUUACUAUGCUUUAAUAUUUAGUUCCAUGUUAAACUUCUACUAACUAGUAACUGCCUAAGGUAUCCAAAUGAAUAAGAAAUGACAAAUUACACUACUUUAUGAUAUAUUCCUGUUUAUCUGUAUUUAGCAUUCGAUUUCCAUAGCUCUAGAUGACAGUUUAGCUCUAAUUCUGUAGCAUAAAGUGUUUUGAAAAUUGAAACUUCUCUACAGGGAGUGGUAGGUUUACUUAGUCUAUGAAGACACGCUUUAUUAUUGGUUUUUAUAGAUCCUAAUGAUCCAAGAAAGCAAUUUGUUGAAAACCCAAAACGAAAGUACUGUUUUCGGAGACAGAAAAACUGCAAAAGAACUUUUACCAGAAAGUGGAAUGAAACUGAGUAGAAAACGCAUGGUAGGUAGGACACAAGAAAAGGAGAGGGGGGAGAAAAUGAGUUUACAUGUAAAACUAGGAUGGAAUUUUUAGAAUACCCAAAUGCUGCAAAAUUCAAAAUUUCAAAUGAUUUUAUUUAUUUAUAAGGCUGACUUGUGGCUAUUUAAAAUAACGGCCAAAACAAACCAACAAAAACCCCUACAAACCCCACAUAGGUGGCAAUGUCGGAAAAUCUAGAACUUCAAAAGCAAUAAAAUUAUUGGAACUAUUUUUCA
Homo sapiens (human) is the source of this 2472-nucleotide long non-coding RNA. The record is from Ensembl. Lineage: Eukaryota; Metazoa; Chordata; Mammalia; Primates; Hominidae.